GGGAAGUGUGUGAGGAGGGGAAUUUCAGAGAGGGAGCAAAAGGGUAAAAAAAUGUGAUCUUGGAAGAAGAAAAGGAAAGUUGAAUAUGGAUAGAGGAAAGAAACAAUAGACGAAAGAUUGGUUAUUGGAGUGAGAUUUAUAUUUCGAUUUCAGAGGAAAAUAUAAAUAAGAAAAUGUGAUUUCUUUCUUUUUCAUCCUUUUAAGCUUGUACAGGAAUUUGACUUAUCCAAGACUCUCCAGAUAUGCUUUCAUCAAUUUCCAUAUUAUCAAGAUUGCCAAC
RNAcentral lists this long non-coding RNA (280 nucleotides) under Vigna radiata. RNAcentral describes it as "long non-coding RNA (VRAD_LNC005000)". Lineage: Eukaryota; Viridiplantae; Streptophyta; Magnoliopsida; Fabales; Fabaceae. The record is from RNAcentral.